UGAGGAAUAUUGGUCAAUGGACGAAAGUCUGAACCAGCCAUGCCGCGUGAAGGAAUAAGGCCCUAUGGGUCGUAAACUUCUUUUGUAUGUGAGCAAUAAGGUCCACGUGUGGACCGAUGAGAGUAGCAUACGAAUAAGCAUCGGCUAACUCCGUGCCAGCAGCCGCGGUAAUACGGAAGGUCCGGGCGUUAUCCGAAUUUAUUGGGUUUAAAGGGAGCGUAGGCCGGAGAUUAAGCGUGUUGUGAAAUGCCGCGGCUCAACCGUGGCACUACAGCGCGAACUGGUUUUCUUGAGUGCGCGCGACGCAGGCGGAAUUCGUGGUGUAGCGGUGAAAUGCUUAGAUAUCACGAGGAACCCCGAUUGCGAAGGCAGCUUGCGGGAGCGCAACUGACGCUGAAGCUCGAAGGUGCGGGUAUCGAACAGGAUUAGAUACCCUGGUAGU
This 442-nucleotide ribosomal RNA is filed under the name uncultured Prevotella sp. Its description in RNAcentral is "bacterial SSU rRNA". It matches the Rfam family "Bacterial small subunit ribosomal RNA", at positions 355 to 794 of the family's 1533-position model. Lineage: Bacteria; Pseudomonadati; Bacteroidota; Bacteroidia; Bacteroidales; Prevotellaceae. The record is from RNAcentral.